CAUGCAAGUCGAACGAGGAUAUAUCCUUCGGGAUAUAAGCCGAGUGGCGCAAGGGUGAGUAAUGCAUAGAUUACCUGCCUCUAGGAUAAGGACAACUUUGUGAAAACGAAGCUAAUACUUAAUAAUACAAAAGAAAAUAAUUUUCUUUUGUCAAUGGGAGGGUAGCAAUACCUUUUGCCUAGAGAGGGGUUUAUGUCCUAUCAGCUUGUUGGUGGGGUAAUGGCCUACCAAGGCGAAGACGGGUAGCCGGUCUUAGAGGAUGGUCGGCCACACUGGGACUGAGACACUGCCCAGACUUCUACGGAAGGCUGCAGUCGAGAAUCUUUCGCAAUGCCCGAAAGGGUGACGAAGCGACGCCGCGUGAGUGAGGAAGGCCUUAGGGUUGUAAAGCUCUGUCAGGAGUUAAGAAAUAUAAGUGUGUUAAUACCACGUUUAUUUGACGAAGGCUCCAAAGGAAGCCACGGCUAACUCUGUGCCAGCAGCCGCGGUAAUACAGAGGUGGCAAGCGUUGUUCGGAAUUAUUGGGCGUAAAGAGCACGUAGGUGGGUUUGUAAGUCAGAUGUGAAAGCCUUCUGUUCAACGGAAGAAUUGCAUCUGAAACUGCAAGUCUUGAGUGUAGGAGGGGAGAAUGGAACUUCUGGUGGAGCGGUGAAAUGCGUAGAUAUCAGAAGGAACGCCGGCGGCGAAAGCGAUUCUCUGGCCUAUUACUGACGCUCAGUGUGCGAAAGCUAGGGGAGCAAACGGGAUUAGAUACCCCGGUAGUCCUAGCCGUAAACGAUGGGCACUAAGUAGAGGGAAUUACCGAUGUUCUCUCUGCCGUAGCUAACGCAUUAAGUGCCCCGCCUGGGGAGUACGGCCGCAAGGCUAAAACUCAAAAGAAUUGACGGGGGCUCGCACAAGCGGUGGAGCAUGUGGCUUAAUUCGAUGCAACGCGAAAAACCUUACCGGGGCUUGACAUGGUAGAAGUAGGAACCCGAAAGGGUAACGAACGGUAUCCAGCCCAUAGCUAUCACAGGUGUUGCAUGGCUGUCGUCAGCUCGUGUCGUGAGACGUUGGGUUAAGUCCCCUAACGAGCGAAACCCUUGUUUUUAGUUACCAGCGGGUUAUGCCGGGUACUCUAGAAAGACUGCCGUCGUCAAGACGGAGGAAGGUGGGGAUGACGUCAAGUCAUCAUGGCCCUUAUGCCCCGGGCUGCACACGUGCUACAAUGGUCGGUACAAACGGAAGCGAAGCCGAGAGGUGAAGCGAAUCCUAAAAAGCCGAUCUCAGUUCGGAUUGGAGGCUGAAAUUCGCCUCCAUGAAGUUGGAAUCGCUAGUAAUCGCGGAUCAGCAAUGCCGCGGUGAAUAUGUUCCCGAGCCUUGUACACACCGCCCGUCAAGCCACCCAAGCAGGAUGCACCCGAAAACAUUAUAUCUAACCAGGGCAACUUGGAGGAAAGUGUUGAAGGAGUGUUUUGUGAGGAGGACUAAGUCGUAACAAGGUAGUCGUAGGAGAACCUGCGGCUGGAUCACCUCCUUUCU
RNAcentral lists this ribosomal RNA (1521 nucleotides) under uncultured Planctomycetales bacterium. RNAcentral describes it as "16S ribosomal RNA". It matches the Rfam family "Bacterial small subunit ribosomal RNA". The record is from RNAcentral. Lineage: Bacteria; Pseudomonadati; Planctomycetota; Planctomycetia; Planctomycetales.